UUUGCUUUGGGCAUCUAAUAAAAUACUGUGUCUUGAUCCUCCCUGCAGACUUACUCAGUGUUAUCUUCCAGACAGCAGGGAUCCAACGGAAACCCACAAGAAUUGUUACUGGGAUGGUAAUCAGAGGGUUAUCUGUUUGGAGAAGCUUGUGGAGGACAUGUAGAGCUUCAGGAUGAAGUAUUGUUCUUCCGGUCUCCGCCCACGGUCAAACUGAAGCAGACCUCUCUCAGUAUUGUGCUGUGAUUGCACAGGUUGUUGAGCCGCAGAAUCACACUGAGGACAUCACAGUGCUCUGGAGCAUGAUGGUUCUUUACAUAAAACCUACAUCCUUCUUGCUUUCACCUGGAGGUCAUGUCAGAAUUUGAAUCAGGUGUUCUGGAGCAGAC
Girardinichthys multiradiatus is the source of this 386-nucleotide long non-coding RNA. RefSeq lists it as uncharacterized. NCBI's taxonomy places the organism in Eukaryota, Metazoa, Chordata, Actinopteri, Cyprinodontiformes, Goodeidae. The transcript has 3 exons. The record is from RefSeq and is a predicted model, not a curated record.